CAUCACCUUUGUUAUUCUGCCCACCAAGCUAGCAUCAUGAUAGGCGCGCCCCACGUGAAAGUUUUUGUCGUACUUCUAGCACUAGCGACAAGAGCAACCUGUGAAACUGAAGGCAUCUUCGAGAAAAAAAUACUUCAAGAGCGUAAAAAUAACUGAAAACGUGGCUGUAUAAGCCGAAAUGCCAAAUGCUAAUCGAGACACGUCAAACACCGAAAGCUCAGCCGAAUUAGUGGACUUUCUCUAAACGAGACAACGAGAGGUUAUAGGUGGUUUGCCAUCUGUAACAGCCGUUUACGCAUUACCAACUGAUGUUGCUGGCGAUGAGCUCGAAUGUCUUCAUGCGAACUUGACUGAAUACAACACCGACUCUGGUAAAGCUAUAUAUCGAUGGACUUGGAGAGAUGGCAUGGGAAAUAACAAAACUGCUGACAACUACAUAACCAGGAAACACUCGUCCUAUAUAGUGACCGUUAAAACUUCGAAUGAUCAUGGACAUCCGUUCUUAGCCACUCUACCUUUCUUUGUUGACAAUACCUGCUUUGUACUUGCAAGUGGCAACUUCGGAGGCCAAUGCAUCUUGUGGGUGAGUGACGCCUUCCGGCAGAACGUCCCAGAAAAAUGCAUUGAAGGAUAUAAGAGAACGUGCCCUACUGGCACCCUGCUUAACAACGAUGCCUGUGGCAACACGCCUUAGAAGAAAUAUCUUUGUGUUAUUAGGUGUGAUAUGUUGGUAUUGACUGCGUGUUAAUUAAAUUACAGUUUAUGCUA
RNAcentral lists this unclassified non-coding RNA (768 nucleotides) under Rhipicephalus microplus (southern cattle tick). Its description in RNAcentral is "uncharacterized LOC119170225, transcript variant X1". The record is from RNAcentral. Lineage: Eukaryota; Metazoa; Arthropoda; Arachnida; Ixodida; Ixodidae.